Molecule: ribosomal RNA, 495 nt
Filed under: uncultured bacterium
Lineage: Bacteria
Description: partial 16S ribosomal RNA
Rfam family: Bacterial small subunit ribosomal RNA
Source: RNAcentral
CGAACGCUGGCGGCGUGCCUAAUACAUGCAAGUUGAGCGCUGAAGGUUGGUACUUGUACCGACUGGAUGAGCAGCGAACGGGUGAGUAACGCGUGGGGAAUCUGCCUUUGAGCGGGGGACAACAUUUGGAAACGAAUGCUAAUACCGCAUAAAAACUUUAAACACAAGUUUUAAGUUUGAAAGAUGCAAUUGCAUCACUCAAAGAUGAUCCCGCGUUGUAUUAGCUAGUUGGUGAGGUAAAGGCUCACCAAGGCGAUGAUACAUAGCCGACCUGAGAGGGUGAUCGGCCACAUUGGGACUGAGACACGGCCCAAACUCCUACGGGAGGCAGCAGGAGGGAAUCUUCGGCAAUGGACGAAAGUCUGACCGAGCAACGCCGCGUGAGUGAAGAAGGGUUUCGGAUCGUAAAACUCUGUUGGUAGAGAAGAACGUUGGUGAGAGUGGAAAGCUCAUCAAGUGACGGUAACUACCCAGAAAGGGACGGCUAACUACGUG